This is a non-coding RNA of Pelobates cultripes (western spadefoot toad), 300 nucleotides long. NCBI's taxonomy places the organism in Eukaryota, Metazoa, Chordata, Amphibia, Anura, Pelobatidae. The record is from the annotation of a GenBank genome assembly.
GGAGGAUUGCCAUCGCCCCAAUCUCUUGAUGAUGUGGACCGGUGUAUUAGUGCUGGAGGCUAAAGAGGCGGCUCCUUUGCGAAAGGAGUGCCCGGAGAAUGAAGUCGGAUUGAAACCCAGUUUAGAUAAUAGUGUUCUGACGUGAGACGUGAAUUUAGCAGUGGUAAGCGGGUGCCCUUGUAUAGAUAAGAGCGGAGAGUCUGGUAAGUGCGCAUGAAGAGUUGACCGUAGGUGGUCUAGCGCCUUGACCGGACACCAGGCAUUAUCAGUAGGGAAGAGAGGCAUUACAGUGGGGUGUAG